Molecule: non-coding RNA, 81 nt
Organism: Hypoxylon cercidicola
Lineage: Eukaryota; Fungi; Ascomycota; Sordariomycetes; Xylariales; Hypoxylaceae
Source: the annotation of a GenBank genome assembly
GAUCACUUGGUGAAAUGGUAUCGCAUCACCUCCCGGUAUAGGGGCUUGGUGAGGUUGCGGGUUCGAUUCCCGUAGUGGUCU